RNAcentral lists this ribosomal RNA (508 nucleotides) under uncultured bacterium. RNAcentral describes it as "partial 16S ribosomal RNA". It matches the Rfam family "Bacterial small subunit ribosomal RNA", at positions 28 to 523 of the family's 1533-position model. The record is from RNAcentral.
GAUGAACGCUAGCUACAGGCUUAACACAUGCAAGUCGAGGGGAAACGACAUCGAAAGCUUGCUUUUGAUGGGCGUCGACCGGCGCACGGGUGAGUAACGCGUAUCCAACCUGCCCACCACUUGGGGAUAACCUUGCGAAAGUAAGACUAAUACCCAAUGACGUCUCUAGAAGACAUCUGAAAGAGAUUAAAGAUUUAUCGGUGAUGGAUGGGGAUGCGUCUGAUUAGCUUGUUGGCGGGGUAACGGCCCACCAAGGCGACGAUCAGUAGGGGUUCUGAGAGGAAGGUCCCCCACAUUGGAACGGAGACACGGUCGAAACUCCUACGGGAGGCAGCAGUGAGGAAUAUUGGUCAAUGGGCGAGAGCCUGAACCAGCCAAGUAGCGUGCAGGAUGACGGCCCUAUGGGUUGUAAACUGCUUUUAUAAGGGAAUAAAGUGAGUCUCGUGAGACUUUUUGCAUGUACCUUAUGAAUAAGGACCGGCUAAUUCCGUGCCAGCAGCCGCGGUAA